AGCUAGUUGGUAGGGUAAUGGCCUACCAAGGCGACGACGGGUAGGGGACCUGAGAGGGUGAUCCCCCACAAUGGAACUGAAACACGGUCCAUACACCUACGGGUGGCAGCAGUAGGGAAUAUUGCACAAUGGGCGAAAGCCUGAUGCAGCAACGCCGCGUGUGCGAUGAAGGCCUUCGGGUCGUAAAGCACUUUUCUGAGGGAAGAGGAAGGACGGUACCUCAGGAAUAAGUCUCGGCUAACUACGUGCCAGCAGCCGCGGUAACACGUAGGAGGCAAGCGUUAUCCGGAUUUACUGGGCGUAAAGCGCGUGCAGGCGGUUUGGUAAGUUGGAUGUGAAAGCUCCCGGCUCAACUGGGAGAUGCCGUUCAAUACUGCCAGACUAGAGGACGGUAGAGGAAGGUAGAAUUCCUGGUGUAGUGGUGAAAUGCGUAGAUAUCAGGAGGAAUACCAGUGGCGAAGGCGGCCUUCUGGGCCGUUCCUGACGCUAAGACGCGAAAGCAUGGGUAGCGAACGGGAUUAGAAACCCCGGUAGUCCAUGCCGUAAACGAUGCAAACUAGGUGUUGGUGGUGUAAAAGCCAUCAGUGCCGCAGCUAACGCGAUAAGUUUGCCGCCUGGGGACUACGGCCGCAAGGUUAAAACUCAAAGGAAUUGACGGGUUCCCGCACAAGCAGCGGAGCGUGUGGUUUAAUUCGAUCUACGCGAAGAACCUUACCUGGGCUUGACAUAUAGGUGGUAGGGAGCCGAAAGGUGACCGACCCUUCGGGGAGCCUAUACAGGUGCUGCAUGGCUGUCGUCAGCUCGUGUCGUGAGAUGUCCGGUUAAGUCCGGUAACGAGCGCAACCCUUGCCGUAUGUUAUAUAUGUCAUACGGGACUGCCGAUAUAAAAUCGGGGGAAGGAGGGGAUGACGUCAAGUCAGCAUGGCCUUUAUGUCCAGGGCUACACACACGCUACAAUGGCCAGUACAAUGGGUCGCAAUGCCGCGAGGCGGAGCCAAUCCUCAAAGCUGGUCUCAGUUCGGAUUGCAGGCUGCAACUCGCCUGCAUGAAGCCGGAGUUGCUAGUAAACGCGCGUCAGCAACAGUGCGUUGAAUACGUUCCCGGGAAUUGUACACACCGCCCGUCACGUCAUGGAAGCUGGAAACACUUAAAGUCAGUAUCCUAACCCUAACGGGAGGGAGCUGCCAAAGGUGGGGCUGGUAACUGGGACGAAGUCGUAACAAGGUAGGUGUACCGGAAGGUGCGCCUGG
RNAcentral lists this ribosomal RNA (1250 nucleotides) under metagenome. RNAcentral's name for it is "bacterial SSU rRNA". It matches the Rfam family "Bacterial small subunit ribosomal RNA", at positions 243 to 1521 of the family's 1533-position model. The record is from RNAcentral.